Long non-coding RNA from Macaca fascicularis (crab-eating macaque), 1803 nucleotides. NCBI's taxonomy places the organism in Eukaryota, Metazoa, Chordata, Mammalia, Primates, Cercopithecidae. The record is from Ensembl.
UGGUUUUAAUGGCCAAUUUGGAUUUAUUUCCCAAAAAUAUCCCACAACCCUAUUAUCAGGAAGCUACCUUGAAAAUGUGUGCAAGUGUACAGUAGGAAAUGGCUCAAAGUAUGAAUCAGUGCAAAAUGACCUUGAGUAACAUUGGUUACAGUCUGUCACAUGCCUGUAUGUGCCAGGUAAUUUACCAACAUAACUCUAAAACAACCAUUCUGUGAGGAACCGGGGGCUCUGAGAUAGUGUGAUGUGACUUACCUAAGAUCAAAAAGCUUUUAAGGGAUGGAGGCCAGGAUUCCAAAGCUAGCACUGGAACAAAAGUAUUCCCCACUCCAGCCCAGGUUGUGAAGAUAAGCUGGGAGGACCACUGGCUGGUCAGGGCUGGGUGUGCCUCCCUGGUGGCUCCACUGAGGCUUCCUUCUCAGUUUCCUAAAAUUGCUGAGUCAGAGGAUAGCCCUAACCUUACAGACCAAGGGGGACUUUCUAUUGGGAGCACAUGAGCAGCUCUUCUCCCUGGCCACUACCUUCAGAUUCCAAGCUCAUCUUCUUUCCACAUCACACUGAUUCUCAGCUCCCGAAAAAACAACUCAAGGCUUGAGUCAGACACUCCAUGUGUUGUUCAAUGAUCUCGCCUGCAACAAUGUUUAUAAUAACCAAAAAAUACAAACAACAUGAAUGUCUAUUAAUAGCGGAGUGGUUAAAUAAUAAUACAACCAUCGGAUGGAAUACUAUAUCACGCAGAUGUUAAAUGAUAAAAGUAUACUGUUAAACAGAAAAAGCAAGGUACGUACAUAUGUUUGUAACGGCAAAGGAAAUUCACUGAGGGGCAUUUAUUCAUUCAACAAUUACGUGUUUUAAGCAUUUUAAGGUUACCUGUGAGGAGUACUUCAGAAGGAAAAAUAGUAACUUGUACUUUUCAGUAAGCUUCUGCACAUAAUUUUAAGGACGAGCAUUUUUUUUUUCUUUUUUUGAGACAGAGUUUCGCUCUUUUUGCCCAGACUGGAGUGCAAUGGCGAGAUCUCAGCUCACUGCAACCUCCGUCUCCCGGGUUCAAGCGAUUCUCCUGCCUCAGCCUCCCGGCAUUGCUUUUUAUAAAGUCAAAAGAAAAGGAAGUUUGACAAAACAAGUAGAAAUAUCCAAUAAAUACUCGCCUGGAAAGGGACAGGGUUAUAAGAAACAGGUAAUAAGGAGCUUAAAACCCUCUGCAGUUCUGCAGUGAGGACAGCCGUGGGGGCAUACAACUUUCCGUUUCAGGUCAGUUUAGGUAGGGCAGGUGGGAACUCACUCUAAAACGAGAAACCAAGGGCCGAUGAUAAAAUGCACACGCUUAGCUUCUGGCGGCCCAGGUCUUCCUAGCCGCAGAUUCUGAGAUGUGUAUCUGCAGGUGGUGUGAAAUUGAAGCCGGGGGAGCGGUUGCUUUCUGUCUCCGAGGGACUCUGAAUCUGGACCACUCCCUCCCCUCCACCAAAGAGGAAACGUGGGCUCCAAGAGGUCACAGCGCUGGGAUGGUAUUUCGACCCCGCGCUGCCCUCAAAGGCCAUCUCCUCGCAGCUCCGCUCCCGCCGGCAGCUUCCGUGCUGCCCAACUCGGCAGCCGCCCGCCGCCCUCGGGGUCCAGUCCACAGGCCUGGGGCCUGGACCAGCUCCGCGGGGGAGGGGUCGGUGCGGAAGGGGCGGGGUACUGGGCCUUCCCCGCGCCACUCUGCCUUUCACGGCCCCGGCCCGGCCCCGGACUCGAGAAACCCGGAGCUCGCGCGAGCACCGCCCCACGGUCACGGCGUGCCUGUCAUUUCCUCUCCGUAGGGCGUGC